AUCUCAUUUUUUUCUGAAUUGGAAAACCAUUUUUAUCGUUAAAGAUUAUACAGUACUUCACAUAUGAAGGUACAACUCAUGUUACGUAGUGGACAUUUUGAUGCGUUACGUAGUGGACAAAACCGUUUCUUAGUGGACAAAAAGUUUCGUAGUUGACAUCAACCCUAUUAUAUGUUAAUAAAAACCUAAUAAAAAUUACAUGAAACUAACCCUUGUUAUUUGUUUUGCACGAAUAUAAUUGAAAAAAGAUUUUAAAAAAGACUGCAUGGUAGUGGUAGUGUCCACUACGAAACGUUUUUCUCCCAUACUUGUUUCGUAGGGGACCGUUUCGUAGGGGACAUAUUCGCAUGUUUUAUUUUUUCCCCACAAUCCCUAUAUUGCAAUAGUAACAAGACUGAUUGUAUUCAUCAAAGCAUGUAUUAAGCUGUACACUGAUAUUUUUUUC
This 445-nucleotide long non-coding RNA is filed under the name Mytilus galloprovincialis (Mediterranean mussel). Lineage: Eukaryota; Metazoa; Mollusca; Bivalvia; Mytilida; Mytilidae. The record is from RNAcentral.